GUUGAUUUAUUAAGACUGAGUUGACCAAAAUAUGGUAAAAUUCUACAUAUGUGAGCAGGUAAUGUUACAUGGGUAUGUCCACAUAGCCUAACAUAACUUCCAUUCUGAACAUACAACCAGCUCGUUUGGGAAUAAGAGGCUUCUUUUUAUCUCGCUAUGAAAGUCAAUGUCAUGUCCUUUGGUUUCAGGUCAGAAGAAUGAGGAAGGGACUGCCUGAACUUGACUUUCUGCUCUGAACAAAGGGUUCUCUUAAGGAAAAAACGUUUACACCUGUGGACACGUCCAGAUGGCAUUGAGAGGCCCACCUUCAUGAAAGGAACAUUCAGCAAUUCCAGGUUGCCAAGAUCUGUAGCAAAGGCAGGCUCUCCACCACCCAAUGCCUCCUAAGAAACCAUCUCUAGGGUAUCAGGUUAGCA
This 416-nucleotide long non-coding RNA is filed under the name Fukomys damarensis (Damara mole-rat). RNAcentral's name for it is "lncRNA (ENSFDAG00000029196.1)". Lineage: Eukaryota; Metazoa; Chordata; Mammalia; Rodentia; Bathyergidae. The record is from RNAcentral.